AGUGAACGCUGGCGGUAGGCCUAACACAUGCAAGUCGAACGGCAGCACAGUAAGAGCUUGCUCUUACGGGUGGCGAGUGGCGGACGGGUGAGGAAUACAUCGGAAUCUACUUUUUCGUGGGGGAUAACGUAGGGAAACUUACGCUAAUACCGCAUACGACCUACGGGUGAAAGCAGGGGAUCUUCGGACCUUGCGCGAUUGAAUGAGCCGAUGUCGGAUUAGCUAGUUGGCGGGGUAAAGGCCCACCAAGGCGACGAUCCGUAGCUGGUCUGAGAGGAUGUUCAGCCACACUGGAACUGAUCCACGUCCCAUACUCCUACGGGAUGCACCAGAAUAUAAUGUUGGACAAUGUGGGCAAGCCUGAUCCAGCGGUACCGCGGAUGAAGAAAAGCCCUUCCGGUUGUGUAGCCGUUUUGUUGUGAAAGAAAAGCUUCCGGUUAAUACCCCUCUUUUCUGGCGGUACCCAAAGAAUAGACACCGGCUAUCUUCGUG
This 492-nucleotide ribosomal RNA is filed under the name uncultured bacterium. RNAcentral's name for it is "partial 16S ribosomal RNA". It matches the Rfam family "Bacterial small subunit ribosomal RNA", at positions 29 to 507 of the family's 1533-position model. The record is from RNAcentral.